UACGUAGGGGGCAAGCGUUGUCCGGAUUUAUUGGGCGUAAAGAGCGUGUAGGCGGCCAAGCAGGUCAGCUGUGAAAACUCGAGGCUCAACCUCGAGACGUCGGUUGAAACCGCUUGGCUAGAGUCCGGAAGAGGAGAGUGGAAUUCCCGGUGUAGCGGUGAAAUGCGCAGAUAUCGGGAAGAACACCCGUGGCGAAGGCGGCUCUCUGGGACGGUACUGACGCUGAGACGCGAAAGCGGUGGGG
Molecule: ribosomal RNA, 244 nt
Filed under: uncultured bacterium
Lineage: Bacteria
Description: partial 16S ribosomal RNA
Rfam family: Bacterial small subunit ribosomal RNA
Source: RNAcentral